AUGAGGUCCCUGCAGAAGGCAAUCGCGGAGGAAGUGGAGCUUCCGCCAUCGGUGAUGGCCAUCUUAGAUCGGUGGGACGAGGAGGAUGAUUUCAGUGGGAUAGUCGAAGGCUAUCGAGGGGUGAUACCAGAUAUCAGAACAGAAAUCUUCAGAAAGCUUGCUAGCAGUAUAUUUGUGGUGAUAUUUCACAAUGGAAGUGACAAAUACAUUGAUCUCUAUGAGUGUGGUGUCCCAGCAAUAUCAUUUUUGAGUAUUAUAAGGUGUUGUGGACCUGGCACGGGAGGUUUCAAUCCAAAUACAUAA
This 303-nucleotide ribosomal RNA is filed under the name Triticum aestivum (bread wheat). Its description in RNAcentral is "partial small subunit ribosomal RNA". Lineage: Eukaryota; Viridiplantae; Streptophyta; Magnoliopsida; Poales; Poaceae. The record is from RNAcentral.